AUACCACUUGGAAACAGGUGACUAAUACCGGAUAAGAAAGCGGAUCGCAUGAUCAGCUUUUAAAAGGCGGCGUAAGCUGUCGCUAUGGGAUGGCCCCGCGGUGCAUUAGCUAGUUGGUAAGGUAAAGGCUUACCAAGGCGAUGAUGCAUAGCCGAGUUGAGAGACUGAUCGGCCACAUUGGGACUGAGACACGGCCCAAACUCCUACGGGAGGCAGCAGAG
RNAcentral lists this ribosomal RNA (221 nucleotides) under uncultured Lactobacillus sp. RNAcentral describes it as "partial 16S ribosomal RNA". It matches the Rfam family "Bacterial small subunit ribosomal RNA", at positions 143 to 354 of the family's 1533-position model. Lineage: Bacteria; Bacillati; Bacillota; Bacilli; Lactobacillales; Lactobacillaceae. The record is from RNAcentral.